GUGCAGAAAGCAGUUGCCAACCAAAGGAUCCACCUCCAUAAACUCCUCUUCCUCCUCCUGUCAGAUCUACAACUUUAGCACAGCCAUUAUCAACAUCAGCACUAUGAAAGACCAGCUUGGGCUGGAGUCAAGAAAAAGAAAAUGGACUAAAUGGUGCAGUAUCUGUUU
Molecule: long non-coding RNA, 168 nt
Organism: Octopus sinensis (East Asian common octopus)
Lineage: Eukaryota; Metazoa; Mollusca; Cephalopoda; Octopoda; Octopodidae
Exons: 3
Source: RefSeq, a predicted model, not a curated record